This is a non-coding RNA of Drosophila takahashii, 204 nucleotides long. NCBI's taxonomy places the organism in Eukaryota, Metazoa, Arthropoda, Insecta, Diptera, Drosophilidae. The record is from RefSeq and is a predicted model, not a curated record.
GUGCUGGUCCAGAAAAUUCUUUUCGCUUCGAAUAGGACUAUUAUUUAACUCAAAUUCGCAACGAAAAUUGGCAGAAAAUGUUCCUUGAACCAAGCUGUGAUGGAUAAACAUGAAAAGUGCCAGGGAAACAAGCUUUUGUAACUAAAACUCCGUUUUGACAUCACUUUCAUCAUAAUCUGAAUAAAAAUAAUAAUAAUAUAAAAA